AACGAACGCUGGCGGCAUGCCUAACACAUGCAAGUCGAACGAAGGCUUCGGCCUUAGUGGCGCACGGGUGCGUAACGCGUGGGAAUCUGCCCCUCGGUUCGGAAUAACAGUUAGAAAUGACUGCUAAUACCGGAUGAUGACUUCGGUCCAAAGAUUUAUCGCCCGAGGAUGAGCCCGCGUAAGAUUAGCUUGUUGGUGGGGUAACGGCCUACCAAGGCGACGAUCUUUAGCUGGUCUGAGAGGAUGUUCAGCCACACUGGGACUGAGACACGGCCCGUACUCCUACGGGAGGCAGCAGUGGGGAAUAUUGGACAAUGGGCGAAAGCCUGAUCCAGCAAUGCCGCGUGAGUGAUGAAGGCCUUAGGGUUGUAAAGCUCUUUUACCAGGGAUGAUAAUGACAGUACCUGGAGAAUAAGCUCCGGCUAACUCCGUGCCAGCCGCCGCCGUAA
RNAcentral lists this ribosomal RNA (449 nucleotides) under uncultured bacterium. RNAcentral's name for it is "partial 16S ribosomal RNA". It matches the Rfam family "Bacterial small subunit ribosomal RNA", at positions 29 to 523 of the family's 1533-position model. The record is from RNAcentral.